This 251-nucleotide long non-coding RNA is filed under the name Manihot esculenta (cassava). Its description in RNAcentral is "long non-coding RNA (MESC_LNC011449)". The record is from RNAcentral. Lineage: Eukaryota; Viridiplantae; Streptophyta; Magnoliopsida; Malpighiales; Euphorbiaceae.
AGCAAUUCUUUGCUCAACGCCACACUCACAACAACAGAAUCUCUCAACAACCUUUACUCACUCUGAAAAGCCAACCAAUUACAACUCAAAACAGACUUUCAAGAAAUUAAUGCUUUGGCUCAAGGUUUUGAGAGAGAGAGAGAAUGAAAAAUGCUGUAAUCUCAAUAAAUAUUUGCUUAGAUGGUUGUUGUAACCUCUUCACAUCAAAAACUCAUUGUAUUUAUAGUUCAGUCAUAAAUAUGGCCGUUGGG